RNAcentral lists this ribosomal RNA (1509 nucleotides) under Salmonella enterica. RNAcentral describes it as "bacterial SSU rRNA". It matches the Rfam family "Bacterial small subunit ribosomal RNA". RNAcentral also lists the same sequence under 1 other name. Lineage: Bacteria; Pseudomonadati; Pseudomonadota; Gammaproteobacteria; Enterobacterales; Enterobacteriaceae. The record is from RNAcentral.
CUCAGAUUGAACGCUGGCGGCAGGCCUAACACAUGCAAGUCGAACGGUAACAGGAAGCAGCUUGCUGCUUUGCUGACGAGUGGCGGACGGGUGAGUAAUGUCUGGGAAACUGCCUGAUGGAGGGGGAUAACUACUGGAAACGGUGGCUAAUACCGCAUAACGUCGCAAGACCAAAGAGGGGGACCUUCGGGCCUCUUGCCAUCAGAUGUGCCCAGAUGGGAUUAGCUAGUUGGUGAGGUAACGGCUCACCAAGGCGACGAUCCCUAGCUGGUCUGAGAGGAUGACCAGCCACACUGGAACUGAGACACGGUCCAGACUCCUACGGGAGGCAGCAGUGGGGAAUAUUGCACAAUGGGCGCAAGCCUGAUGCAGCCAUGCCGCGUGUAUGAAGAAGGCCUUCGGGUUGUAAAGUACUUUCAGCGGGGAGGAAGGUGUUGUGGUUAAUAACCACAGCAAUUGACGUUACCCGCAGAAGAAGCACCGGCUAACUCCGUGCCAGCAGCCGCGGUAAUACGGAGGGUGCAAGCGUUAAUCGGAAUUACUGGGCGUAAAGCGCACGCAGGCGGUCUGUCAAGUCGGAUGUGAAAUCCCCGGGCUCAACCUGGGAACUGCAUUCGAAACUGGCAGGCUUGAGUCUUGUAGAGGGGGGUAGAAUUCCAGGUGUAGCGGUGAAAUGCGUAGAGAUCUGGAGGAAUACCGGUGGCGAAGGCGGCCCCCUGGACAAAGACUGACGCUCAGGUGCGAAAGCGUGGGGAGCAAACAGGAUUAGAUACCCUGGUAGUCCACGCCGUAAACGAUGUCUACUUGGAGGUUGUGCCCUUGAGGCGUGGCUUCCGGAGCUAACGCGUUAAGUAGACCGCCUGGGGAGUACGGCCGCAAGGUUAAAACUCAAAUGAAUUGACGGGGGCCCGCACAAGCGGUGGAGCAUGUGGUUUAAUUCGAUGCAACGCGAAGAACCUUACCUGGUCUUGACAUCCACGGAAGUUUUCAGAGAUGAGAAUGUGCCUUCGGGAACCGUGAGACAGGUGCUGCAUGGCUGUCGUCAGCUCGUGUUGUGAAAUGUUGGGUUAAGUCCCGCAACGAGCGCAACCCUUAUCCUUUGUUGCCAGCGGUCCGGCCGGGAACUCAAAGGAGACUGCCAGUGAUAAACUGGAGGAAGGUGGGGAUGACGUCAAGUCAUCAUGGCCCUUACGACCAGGGCUACACACGUGCUACAAUGGCGCAUACAAAGAGAAGCGACCUCGCGAGAGCAAGCGGACCUCAUAAAGUGCGUCGUAGUCCGGAUUGGAGUCUGCAACUCGACUCCAUGAAGUCGGAAUCGCUAGUAAUCGUGGAUCAGAAUGCCACGGUGAAUACGUUCCCGGGCCUUGUACACACCGCCCGUCACACCAUGGGAGUGGGUUGCAAAAGAAGUAGGUAGCUUAACCUUCGGGAGGGCGCUUACCACUUUGUGAUUCAUGACUGGGGUGAAGUCGUAACAAGGUAACCGUAGGGGAACCUGCGGUUGGA